Molecule: long non-coding RNA, 863 nt
Filed under: Homo sapiens (human)
Lineage: Eukaryota; Metazoa; Chordata; Mammalia; Primates; Hominidae
Description: HSALNT0320904
Source: RNAcentral
UUCUAGUCCAAAGUAAGGACAAUUUUUCCCAAGUGAUUGAGUGGAGCAGCAAAUGCCUGUGAAAAUAGUAGAUAUAAAAAUAUCAGCAAGAGCCAAAAUUACAAGACUGUUUCUGAAAAUAUUCCGAAAGAAUGUUUAGAAAACAUCUUUUUCCAGGUAGACAGAGAGUUUGUGAGGCUGCAUCAUUGGCAUCAUUUUAUCAUCACCAUCCCGCUCAGGAGCUCAAGAAGAGGGGAACUGAGUCAGUUAGAAUUACAGAGAAAAAAACAUAGUAUAUAUAAGGUUCUGGAGCUGAAAAAUACAAUGAACAAAGUGAAAAGUGAAACAGAGACUAUCAGCAGCAGAAUUAGUCAAGCAAAAGAAAGAAUCUGCAAAAUUGAAGAUGAGUUAUUUGAAAAUAUACAGUGAGAAGAGGAAAAAGAAAACCAUUUUUAAAAAUGAAGAAAGCUUACAGGAAUUAUGAGACAGCAUCAACAGACCAAAAGUUUGAGUCACUGGCAUUUUGGAAAUCUGCAGCUUCAGGGUGAUAAUAAUUUCAGUUGGAGCCUCACUGGUAACCUUGCUCAGCCACACGACUGGAAUGUAAGAGGCUGGGGCAUUUUGGACAGCACAGAUGUUAAACGUGAACACUACCUUCUCAGUAGCACAAAUCUGACUACAUCUUUAAGUCUCCAAGAGGAACAUGAGGACAUGAGCAAUAGAGGAAACCUGGAGGAAGAGGGUGUGGCAUGUUGAAAUUUAAAAAGAAGCAAUGUGUAUUUGCAAGUCAAACCAAUAUAAUAAAACCAGUGGUUAUUUUUUAAUGUUUUCAAUCAUUGGAAUAUACAUGAAUUUUCACAAUAAAGUGUGCUAAAGUAUUCAUA